Molecule: unclassified non-coding RNA, 1556 nt
Filed under: Gigantopelta aegis
Lineage: Eukaryota; Metazoa; Mollusca; Gastropoda; Neomphalida; Peltospiridae
Description: zinc finger and SCAN domain-containing protein 26- like, transcript variant X1
Source: RNAcentral
CCCACAGACAGGAUAGUACAUAUCACGGCCUUUGUUACACCAGUUGUGGAGCACUGGCUGGAACGAGAAAUAGCACAAGGGCCCGCCGACGGGGAUCGAUCCUUGUUGGCCAACAGUGACUGUGUCAUCAAUUAUAUAUAUGCAAAUGAUAAUUUUAAGCAGAGGCAAUGUACUUGAACACUGUAUUGCACUCAGGGUUUUAACACUGGCGUAGCCAUAAUUUUAUAUUGGGGGGGGGGGGGGGGGGGGGGGAGUAACCCACACUAUGUAUGUAUGAUUUUGUAACCGGGUAUUUUAAACUACAUUCAGUACACACAUACUAUUUUAAAAUACUGUUCACAUUGUUUUAUUCUGUCAGGUUAUACUUGUGCAGGCUUUCUUUGUUUUCUUGCUUUCUCUGGUUUUCUGGGCUUGGGUUGUGUGCACUGAUAACUCAGAUCUGGCAAGCCCAGUUUCAUUGUUUCUGCGUUCUCUUGGUCAGAAGCUUUGUGACUUGCAAAGAGAAAAGAUCACUUUUAUGAGAAGACAAGCUUUUAUUCACAGCAACUGCACAACUAACUUCCACGAAGAAUAUUAAAGAUGCCACCAUUAUAUAAGAGUGCAACCAGCAUUAUGCUUGUGUGAAGACCCGAUCCACAGUCGAUGCCACCAUUAUAUAAGAGUGCAACCAGCAUUAUGCUUGUGUGAAGACCCGAUCCACAGUCGGGUCUUUGUUUAUCUGAUUUGUUUUUGAUAGUUAUGCUUGUAGCCAAGGAUCUUAAUAUCCCACCCGAUGAAUGAUCCGAAUAAACCCUAAACCUCUCCCGAGUUGUUCGUGUUUCCCUCAUACAAUACUUCAGUAACAUUGGAGCCGACGUAGGGACUGGGUGUGUACAGGACAGGAAUACUACUAUAACCCAGUUAGGACCAGCAACAGUUCAACUGUUCGUGGCCAACAGCUCCGGAACGCAGCUUCACUUGAGUGGGGGAGUACGUGUAGUUAUGUAACCAUGUGGAUUUUAUUGCUUUAAUGAUUUUAGUAUGCACAAAACACAUGCACCAAAACUUUGACUAGGAGCUGUAGGAACAUGCAUUUAUCUGUCUAAACAUAUGACCUCUGACCAGGGACAGUGAUAAUCAACCAAUAGAUUGGCCAGCUGUGUUUGACCCAUUUGGUGGCUAUUCAUUGUCACUCGCCUAACAUUCUUUCACAUGUCACGAUCUGCACAGGCUACGCACUCUUGAUCUGCCUUCAAACUAUUCUGGGAUAAUUGGGGUCCAACCUAAACCGUAUGACACAUUCUUGAACUUCGUAUACCACAACCAAUAUGGCGGAUAAAGCUCGCUUCGCUACACGACGAACAGUUUGUGAAGACUGCGGCCAACAAUACUGUGGAAGGUCUGCUGACCGCAGACAUGUGGUUGUCCAUCACGGCAGACUAGGCGGGCACCAGUGCACUGACUGUGGACGAGUGUUUUCAAUUAGGAGUCAUCUCCAAGGACACCACGUUUCCAGAUUCAUUGGAAUGAAUUGUUUAGUUUUUAUAUAUUGUUUAAUAAAUCGACAUUAUAAUGCA